RNAcentral lists this transfer RNA (77 nucleotides) under Caulobacteraceae bacterium. RNAcentral describes it as "tRNA-Val". It matches the Rfam family "tRNA". Rfam says of the family: Transfer RNA (tRNA) molecules are approximately 80 nucleotides in length. Their secondary structure includes four short double-helical elements and three loops (D, anti-codon, and T loops). Lineage: Bacteria; Pseudomonadati; Pseudomonadota; Alphaproteobacteria; Caulobacterales; Caulobacteraceae. The record is from RNAcentral.
GGGCGGCUAGCUCAGCGGGUCAGAGCGCCUGGUUUACACCCAGGAGGUCGGGGGUUCGAACCCCUCGCCGCCCACCA